AGAGUUUGAUCCUGGCUCAGAUUGAACGCUGGCGGCAGGCCUAACACAUGCAAGUCGAGCGGUAACAGGGGUAGCUUGCUACCCGCUGACGAGCGGCGGACGGGUGAGUAAUGCAUGGGUAUCUGCCCGGUAGUGGGGGAUAACUCGGGGAAACCCGAGCUAAUACCGCAUACGUCCUACGGGAGAAAGCAGGGGAUCUUCGGACCUUGCGCUAUCGGAUGAGCCCAUGUCGGAUUAGCUUGUUGGUGAGGUAACGGCUCACCAAGGCCGCGAUCCGUAGCUGGUCUGAGAGGAUGAUCAGCCACACCGGGACUGAGACACGGCCCGGACUCCUACGGGAGGCAGCAGUGGGGAAUAUUGGACAAUGGGGGAAACCCUGAUCCAGCCAUGCCGCGUGUGUGAAGAAGGCCUUCGGGUUGUAAAGCACUUUCAGUGGGGAAGAAGGCAUGAUGGUUAAUAACCAUCAUGAAGGACAUCACCCACAGAAGAAGCACCGGCUAACUCCGUGCCAGCAGCCGCGGUAAUACGGAGGGUGCAAGGGUUAAUCGGAAUUACUGGGCGUAAAGGGCGCGUAGGCGGCUUGCCAAGCCGGAUGUGAAAGCCCCGGGCUCAACCCGGGAACGGCAUUCGGAACUGGCAGGCUAGAGUGCAGGAGAGGAAGGUGGAAUUCCCGGUGUAGCGGUGAAAUGCGUAGAGAUCGGGAGGAAUACCAGUGGCGAAGGCGGCCUUCUGGACUGACACUGACGCUGAGGCGCGAAAGCGUGGGUAGCAAACAGGAUUAGAUACCCUGGUAGUCCACGCCGUAAACGAUGUCGACCAGCCGUUGGACCCCUUGAGGGUUUGGUGGCGCAGUUAACGCAAUAAGUCGACCGCCUGGGGAGUACGGCCGCAAGGCUAAAACUCAAAUGAAUUGACGGGGGCCCGCACAAGCGGUGGAGGAUGUGGUUUAAUUCGAUGCAACGCGAAGAACCUUACCUGCUCUUGACAUCCUGCGAAUCUCCCAGAGAUGGGAGAGUGCCUUCGGGARCGGAGAGACAGGUGCUGCAUGGCUGUCGUCAGCUCGUGUUGUGAAAUGUUGGGUUAAGUCCCGUAACGAGCGCAACCCCUAUCCCUUUUUGCCAGCGGUCCGGCCGGGAACUUCAGGGAGACUGCCGGUGAGAAACCGGAGGAAGGUGGGGACGACGUCAAGUCAUCAUGGCCCUUACGAGCAGGGCUACACACGUGCUAGAAUGGCCGGUACAAAGGGUUGCGAAGCGGCGACGUGAAGCCAAUCCCAUAAAGCCGGCCUCAGUCCGGAUCGGAGUCUGCAACUCGACUCCGUGAAGUCGGAAUCGCUAGUAAUCGUGGAUCAGAAUGCCACGGUGAAUACGUUCCCGGGCCUUGUACACACCGCCCGUCACACCAUGGGAGUGGACUGCACCAGAAGUGGUUAGCUUAACCUUCGGGAGAGCGAUCACCACGGUGUGGUUCAUGACUGGGGUGAAGUCGUAACAAGGUAGCCGUAGGGGAACCUGCGGCUGGAUCACCUCCUU
This 1532-nucleotide ribosomal RNA is filed under the name Halomonas sp. FIB22_1. RNAcentral describes it as "bacterial SSU rRNA". It matches the Rfam family "Bacterial small subunit ribosomal RNA". The record is from RNAcentral. Lineage: Bacteria; Pseudomonadati; Pseudomonadota; Gammaproteobacteria; Oceanospirillales; Halomonadaceae. RNAcentral also lists the same sequence under 1 other name.